UACGUAGGAGGCGAGCGUUGUCCGGAUUUACUGGGCGUAAAGGGCGCGCAGGCGGCCUUGCAAGUCGCGUGUGAAAUCCACCUGCUCAACGGGUGGGGUGCAUGGUAGACUGCAGGGCUAGAGGACGGUAGAGGGGGGUGGAAUUGCUGGUGUAGCGGUGAAAUGCGUAGAGAUCAGCAGGAACACCGGUGGCGAAGGCGGCGCCCUGGGCCGGACCUGACGCUGAGGCGCGAAGGCUAGGGGAGCGAACGGG
Molecule: ribosomal RNA, 253 nt
Filed under: uncultured bacterium
Lineage: Bacteria
Description: partial 16S ribosomal RNA
Rfam family: Bacterial small subunit ribosomal RNA
Source: RNAcentral